RNAcentral lists this long non-coding RNA (815 nucleotides) under Gossypium barbadense (sea-island cotton). Its description in RNAcentral is "long non-coding RNA (GBAR_LNC011661)". The record is from RNAcentral. Lineage: Eukaryota; Viridiplantae; Streptophyta; Magnoliopsida; Malvales; Malvaceae.
AAGAAGUUAAGAUUCAGCGAGACUAAGCAAAAUUGGCCAUUUUUGAGUCUUUGUUCCAUUCUCAUUACACGACAAUGAGCAAAGAGGGGCAGCUGUAAUGGCCAAUUUUUGGCCCAGACAAAUAAAAAAACAAAACCCAAAACAAUAAAAAAGAGCCCAAAUAACAGCCCACUAAUCUUAAGAAUUUUCAGCAGCCAACCCUAGCCCCAAGCCUCCAACCGCUGCUCCCCACGUGCUCGGGCAGCACGUUCAACGCUCGGCCACCACACCCCGCGCAUGCCCUCCUCCUUAAUGUGCCUGACACUCCCAUAACCUGCAAACAUUUGGAAAAGAGGAAAAAAUGGCAGCAAGAAGCACAAGCAGUAGCAGAGAAUAAAACAAACAAUAUUUUAAUAUGGGAAUCGGCUAUAAAGCCGAAAUGAAACUGAUUGUAAAGGGGGGGAUCCAAAAAAAUUGUAUCACUCGCAUAUUUUUCAAGGAAUCAAACAAAAAACACACAAAAGGUUGAUCUCCGAUUUUGUUCUAUUUAUUUUCGUAUUUUCGUUUUCUUGCUUCUUUAAUAUUUCUUUUAUUUUUUUAUACAAAUCUAUUAAACAAAGAUACAAAAAAAAUAAAAGGAAAGAGGAAGGAUUCUCACCAGAUCCGGCCCCGUCGUCGCGUUGUCGGAGCCCUCCCCUCCGUUUGGCGUGGUUGAGUCUAAAAAAGGGGUUGAACCAUUGUCUUUCGUUUUUGGAACGAGCCUCCAACAAGUAAAAAAGAGGGGGGGAGAGGGGGAGAGAGCAGGGAAGCUAUCUGUUCUUUUUGUUUAAAAUUGG